UCAACAAGUAGUUUAAUAAAAAUAUUAGUUUUGGAUGCUAAAGAUAAUGUUUUCUUGUUG
Molecule: transfer RNA, 60 nt
Filed under: Homotoma ficus
Lineage: Eukaryota; Metazoa; Arthropoda; Insecta; Hemiptera; Carsidaridae
Description: tRNA-Pro
Source: RNAcentral